AAAAAAGGUAAGCUACUAAGAGCGAAUGGUGGAUGCCUUGACUGGUAAAGGCGAUGAAGGACGUACUAGACUGCGAUAAGCUACGGGGAGCUGUCAAGAAGCUUUGAUCCGUAGAUUUCCGAAUGGGGCAACCCAAUGUAUAGAGAUAUACAUUACCUAUAUAGGAGCGAACGAGGGGAAUUGAAACAUCUUAGUACCCUCAGGAAAAGAAAUCAAUAGAGAUUGCGUCAGUAGCGGCGAGC
This 242-nucleotide ribosomal RNA is filed under the name Campylobacter coli. RNAcentral's name for it is "partial 23S ribosomal RNA". It matches the Rfam family "Bacterial large subunit ribosomal RNA", at positions 1 to 254 of the family's 2925-position model. Lineage: Bacteria; Pseudomonadati; Campylobacterota; Epsilonproteobacteria; Campylobacterales; Campylobacteraceae. RNAcentral also lists the same sequence under 1 other name. The record is from RNAcentral.